AGCAGCCGCGGUAAUUCCAGCUCCAAUAGCGUAUAUUAAAGUUGUUGCAGUUAAAAAGCUCGUAGUUGAAUUUCGGGGUUAGUAGGUUGGUCAUGCCACUGGUAUGUACUGAUUUUACUGAUUCCUCCUUCCUGAUGAACCGUAAUGCCAUUAAUUUGGUGUUGCGGGGAGACUGGACUGUUACUUUGAAAAAAUUAGAGUGUUUAAAGCAGGCUAACGCUUGAAUACAUUAGCAUGGAAUAAUGAAAUAGGACGUUCGAUCCUAUUUUGUUGGUUUCUAGGAUUGACGUAAUGAUUAAUAGGGAUAGUUGGGGGCAUUAGUAUUCAAUUGUCAGAGGUGAAAUUCUUGGAUUUAUUGAAGACUAACUACUGCGAAAGCAUUUGCCAAGGAUGUUUUCAUUAAUCAAGAACGAAAGUUAGGGGAUCGAAGACGAUCAGAUACCGUCGUAGUCUUAACCAUAAACUAUGCCGACUAGGGAUCGGAUGAUGUUAAUUUUUUAAUGACUCAUUCGGCGCCUUACG
This 522-nucleotide ribosomal RNA is filed under the name uncultured Glomus. RNAcentral's name for it is "SSU rRNA". It matches the Rfam family "Eukaryotic small subunit ribosomal RNA", at positions 569 to 1092 of the family's 1831-position model. The record is from RNAcentral. Lineage: Eukaryota; Fungi; Glomeromycota; Glomeromycetes; Glomerales; Glomeraceae.